Molecule: ribosomal RNA, 487 nt
Filed under: uncultured bacterium
Lineage: Bacteria
Description: partial 16S ribosomal RNA
Rfam family: Bacterial small subunit ribosomal RNA
Source: RNAcentral
GACGAACGCUGGCGGCGUGCUUAACACAUGCAAGUCGAACGGGCUCUGUCUGGCUGUGUGCUGGGUGGGGUUAGUGGCGAACGGGUGAGUAAUACGUGAGUAACCUGCCAUCUUCUUUGGGAUAAGUCUUGGAAACGGGGUCCAAUACUGGAUAUUACUGUCUGGUCGCAUGGCUGGGUGGGGAAAGUUUUUUUCGGUGGGGGAUGGGCUCGCGGCCUAUGAGCUUGUUGGUGGGGUAAUGGCCUAUCAAGGAGACGACGGGUGGCCGACGGGAGAGGGAGUCGGGCGACAGUGAGGCUGAGAAGCGACCCAGAGUCCGACGGGAGGCAGCAGUGGGGGAUGGUGGACGCAGUGCGGAAGCCUGCGGCAGCGGCGCCGCGUGGAGGAUGACGGGUUUCGGGUAGUAAGCCUCUUUCGUCGUGGGACAAGGCUCUGCUUGGUGGUGGGGUUGAGGGUACCCGGUGAAGAAGCGCCGGCUAACUACGUG